RNAcentral lists this ribosomal RNA (465 nucleotides) under uncultured bacterium. RNAcentral describes it as "partial 16S ribosomal RNA". It matches the Rfam family "Bacterial small subunit ribosomal RNA", at positions 28 to 507 of the family's 1533-position model. The record is from RNAcentral.
GAUGAACGCUGGCGGCGUGCCUAACACAUGCAAGUCGAACGGAAAGGCUCCUGCUUGCAGGGGUACUCGAGUGGCGAACGGGUGAGGAACACGUGGGUGAUCUGCCCUGCAUUUCGGUAUAAGCCUGGGAAACUGGGUCUAAUACCGUAUAGGACGAUGGUUUCGAUUCCAUUGUGGAAAGUUUUUCGGUAUGGGAUGAGCUCGCGGCCUAUCAGCUAGUUGGUGGGGUAAUGGCCUACCAAGGCGUCGACGGGUGGCCGGCCUGAGAGGGUGUACGGCCACAUUGGGCCUGAGAUACGGCGCAGACUCCAACGGGAGGCAGCAGUGGGGAAUAUUGCACAAUGGGAGCAAGCCUGAUGCAGAGACGCCGCGUGGGGGAUGACGGCCUUCGGGUUGUAAACUCCUUUCGCUAGGGACGAAGCGCAAGUGACGGUACCUGGAGAAGAAGCACCGGCUAACUACGUG